RNAcentral lists this small RNA (147 nucleotides) under Macaca mulatta (Rhesus monkey). RNAcentral describes it as "Metazoan signal recognition particle RNA (ENSMMUG00000053315.1)". The record is from Rfam by way of RNAcentral. Lineage: Eukaryota; Metazoa; Chordata; Mammalia; Primates; Cercopithecidae.
GCCGGGCGUGGUGGCGGGCGCCUGUAGUCCCAGCUACUCGGAGGCUGAGGCAGGAGAAUGGCGUGAACCCGGGAAGCGGAGCUUGCAGUGAGCUGAGAUCCGGCCACUGCACUCCAGCCUGGGUGACAGAGCCAGACUCCGUCUCAA